AGUGAACGCUGGCGGUAGGCCUAAUACAUGCAAGUCGAACGGCAGCACAGUAAGAGCUUGCUCUUACGGGUGGCGAGUGGCGGACGGGUGAGGAAUACAUCGGAAUCUACUUUUUCGUGGGGGAUAACGUAGGGAAACUUACGCUAAUACCGCAUACGACCUACGGGUGAAAGCAGGGGAUCUUCGGACCUUGCGCGAUUGAAUGAGCCGAUGUCGGAUUAGCUAGUUGGCGGGGUAAAGGCCCACCAAGGCGACGAUCCGUAGCUGGUCUGAGAGGAUGAUCAGCCACACUGGAACUGAGACACGGUCCAGACUCCUACGGGAGGCAGCAGUGGGGAAUAUUGGACAAUGGGCGCAAGCCUGAUCCAGCCAUACCGCGUGGGUGAAGAAGGCCUUCGGGUUGUAAAGCCCUUUUGUUGGGAAAGAAAAGCAGCAGGUUAAUACCCCGCUGUUCUGACGGUACCCAAAGAAUAAGCACCGGCUAACUUCG
Molecule: ribosomal RNA, 490 nt
Filed under: uncultured bacterium
Lineage: Bacteria
Description: partial 16S ribosomal RNA
Rfam family: Bacterial small subunit ribosomal RNA
Source: RNAcentral